GCUUGGGUGGCUCAGUUGGUUGGGCGUCUGCCUUCAGCUCAGGUCAUGAUCUCAUGAUUUGUGGGUUCGAGCCCCACAUCGGGCA
This 85-nucleotide transfer RNA is filed under the name Felis catus (domestic cat). It matches the Rfam family "tRNA". Rfam says of the family: Transfer RNA (tRNA) molecules are approximately 80 nucleotides in length. Their secondary structure includes four short double-helical elements and three loops (D, anti-codon, and T loops). The record is from Rfam by way of RNAcentral. Lineage: Eukaryota; Metazoa; Chordata; Mammalia; Carnivora; Felidae.